GUAAUACGUAGGGUGCAAGCGUUAAUCGGAAUUACUGGGCGUAAAGCGUGCGCAGGCGGUUUGUUAAGACAGAUGUGAAAUCCCCGGGCUCAACCUGGGAACUGCAUUUGUGACUGGCAAGCUAGAGUAUGGCAGAGGGGGGUGGAAUUCCGCGUGUAGCAGUGAAAUGCGUAGAUAUGCGGAGGAACACCGAUGGCGAAGGCAGCCCCCUGGGCCAAUACUGACGCUCAUGCACGAAAGCGUGGGGAGCAAACAGGAUUAGAUACCCUGGUAGUCCACGCCCUAAACGAUGUCAACUAGUUGUUGGGGAUUCAUUUCCUUAGUAACGUAGCUAACGCGUGAAGUUGACCGCCUGGGGAGUACGGUCGCAAGAUUAAAACUCAAAU
Molecule: ribosomal RNA, 386 nt
Filed under: Robbsia sp.
Lineage: Bacteria; Pseudomonadati; Pseudomonadota; Betaproteobacteria; Burkholderiales; Burkholderiaceae
Description: bacterial SSU rRNA
Rfam family: Bacterial small subunit ribosomal RNA
Source: RNAcentral